CAUGGCUCAGAGUGAACGCUGGCGGUAGGCCUAACACAUGCAAGUCGAGGGGCAGCAUGGUCUUAGCUUGCUAAGACUGAUGCCGACCGGCGCACGGGUGCGUAACGCGUAUGCAACUUGCCUCCCAGAGGGGGAUAACCCGUCGAAAGACGGACUAAUACCGCGUACACUCUAGCUUGGGCAUCCAGGCUGGAUGAAAUGAAAUUCGCUGUGAGAUAGGCAUGCGUCCCAUUAGCUAGUUGGUGAGGUAACGGCUCACCAAGGCGACGAUGGGUAGGGGAACUGAGAGGUUGAACCCCCACACUGGUACUGAGACACGGACCAGACUCCUACGG
RNAcentral lists this ribosomal RNA (335 nucleotides) under uncultured bacterium. Its description in RNAcentral is "bacterial SSU rRNA". It matches the Rfam family "Bacterial small subunit ribosomal RNA", at positions 18 to 344 of the family's 1533-position model. The record is from RNAcentral.